AAUCUCACGCCAGGCAGGGGAGAUACCAUGAUCACAAAGGUGGUUCUCCCAGGGCGAGGCUUAUCCAUUGCACUCCGGAUGUGCUGACCCCUGGGAUUUCCCCAAAUGUGGAUACCUUGACUGCAUAAUUUCUGGUAGCGGGGGACUGUGUUCGCGCUUUCCUCUG
Molecule: small nuclear RNA, 166 nt
Organism: Tupaia belangeri (northern tree shrew)
Lineage: Eukaryota; Metazoa; Chordata; Mammalia; Scandentia; Tupaiidae
Gene: U1
Rfam family: U1 spliceosomal RNA
About the family: U1 is a small nuclear RNA (snRNA) component of the spliceosome (involved in pre-mRNA splicing). Its 5' end forms complementary base pairs with the 5' splice junction, thus defining the 5' donor site of an intron. There are significant differences in sequence and secondary structure between metazoan and yeast U1 snRNAs, the latter being much longer (568 nucleotides as compared to 164 nucleotides in human).
Source: Ensembl